RNAcentral lists this ribosomal RNA (876 nucleotides) under uncultured bacterium. Its description in RNAcentral is "bacterial SSU rRNA". It matches the Rfam family "Bacterial small subunit ribosomal RNA", at positions 338 to 1229 of the family's 1533-position model. The record is from RNAcentral.
CCUACGGGAGGCAGCAGUGGGGAAUAUUGGGCAAUGGGCGGAAGCCUGACCCAGCAACGCCGCGUGAGGGAAGAAGGUUUUCGGAUUGUAAACCUCUGUUCUUGGGGAAGAGGAGGAGACGGUACCCAAGGAGGAAGCCCCGGCUAACUACGUGCCAGCAGCCGCGGUAAUACGUAGGGGGCGAGCGUUGUCCGGAAUGAUUGGGCGUAAAGGGCGCGCAGGCGGCCUGUCAAGUCAGUAGUGGAAGUCCAUUUUUCAAGGAUGGAAGUGCUAUAGAAACUGAUGGGCUUGAGUGCAGGAGAGGUUAUCGGAAUUCCCGGUGUAGCGGUGAAAUGCGUAGAGAUCGGGAGGAACACCAGUGGCGAAGGCGGGUAACUGGACUGCAACUGACGCUGAGGCGCGAAAGUGUGGGGAGCAAACAGGAUUAGAUACCCUGGUAGUCCACACUGUAAACGAUGAAUGCUAGGUGUAGGGGGUAUCGACCCCUUCUGUGCCGAAGUAAACACAAUAAGCAUUCCGCCUGGGGAGUACGGUCGCAAGAUUAAAACUCAAAGGAAUUGACGGGGGCCCGCACAAGCAGCGGAGCAUGUGGUUUAAUUCGAAGCAACGCGAAGAACCUUACCAGGUCUUGACAUCCAUCUAAAGCUGCGGAGACGCAGUGUGAGCAAGCUCGAGAUGAGACAGGUGGUGCAUGGUUGUCGUCAGCUCGUGUCGUGAGAUGUUGGGUUAAGUCCCGCAACGAGCGCAACCCUUGCCGGUAGUUACUAACGGGAAGAGCCGAGGACUUUACCGGGACCGCCGGGGACAACUCGGAGGAAGGUGGGGACGACGUCAAAUCAUCAUGCCCCUUAUGACCUGGGCUACACACGUGCUACA